GGGCUUCCUCCCCAGCACCCUCUUCUUCCUCUGCUCUCUGAAACGAGGGCUGCUGGCACCCUGGCUGUCCCUGGGAGGCCCCAGGCGCUGGGCUGAACGUGUUAACUUUGGCUUUUUACCACCACCCCUUUCCCCCCGCCAUCACUCCAGAUGCCUGCGCAUCUUGUUUACCCAGCAAAAUGUGCCAGUGGAGAAAAUCAACGGGGGCGCUGUCACGUGGGCCAUGGGCCGUGUCAGGACCAUGGGGAAUUUGGGAGAAGGCACAUGGCCAGCACUCUGCGGUGCCUGUACAGCCUGGCAUCAGGGGAUGUCUUUCCAGGAUUACAGACAUUGGGUGUCUAUCCUUGGGCUCUUGAUAAGAUCAGACUGGCAAUGCGGUGCUGCCGGCAAAAUGCCUUCACCCAGCGCCCAUGUGGCUGUGCCAGGAGAAGGAGCGGGGACGUGCUCAGCACCACUGGCCUCGCCGCGACCAGCGCGUGAUGGAGGUGGCUGAGACCGUGGCAGCUGCUGGCCAGGCUUGGCUCUGGCCGCUGGCCUCCUGCCUCCAGAAAGGGAGCGAUGGCUCCUCCAGCCAUGGCUUCUAAUGCAAAUA
Molecule: long non-coding RNA, 592 nt
Organism: Cygnus atratus (black swan)
Lineage: Eukaryota; Metazoa; Chordata; Aves; Anseriformes; Anatidae
Exons: 3
Source: RefSeq, a predicted model, not a curated record